AGAGUUUGAUCCUGGCUCAGAUUGAACGCUGGCGGCAGGCCUAACACAUGCAAGUCGAGCGGUAGCACAGAGAGCUUGCUCUCGGGUGACGAGCGGCGGACGGGUGAGUAAUGUCUGGGAAACUGCCUGAUGGAGGGGGAUAACUACUGGAAACGGUAGCUAAUACCGCAUAACGUCGCAAGACCAAAGAGGGGGACCUUCGGGCCUCUUGCCAUCAGAUGUGCCCAGAUGGGAUUAGCUAGUAGGUGGGGUAACGGCUCACCUAGGCGACGAUCCCUAGCUGGUCUGAGAGGAUGACCAGCCACACUGGAACUGAGACACGGUCCAGACUCCUACGGGAGGCAGCAGUGGGGAAUAUUGCACAAUGGGCGCAAGCCUGAUGCAGCCAUGCCGCGUGUAUGAAGAAGGCCUUCGGGUUGUAAAGUACUUUCAGCGGGGAGGAAGGUGUUGUGGUUAAUAACCACAGCAAUUGACGUUACCCGCAGAAGAAGCACCGGCUAACUCCGUGCCAGCAGCCGCGGUAAUACGGAGGGUGCAAGCGUUAAUCGGAAUUACUGGGCGUAAAGCGCACGCAGGCGGUCUGUCAAGUCGGAUGUGAAAUCCCCGGGCUCAACCUGGGAACUGCAUUCGAAACUGGCAGGCUAGAGUCUUGUAGAGGGGGGUAGAAUUCCAGGUGUAGCGGUGAAAUGCGUAGAGAUCUGGAGGAAUACCGGUGGCGAAGGCGGCCCCCGGACAAAGAC
RNAcentral lists this ribosomal RNA (740 nucleotides) under Enterobacter kobei. RNAcentral describes it as "bacterial SSU rRNA". It matches the Rfam family "Bacterial small subunit ribosomal RNA", at positions 8 to 740 of the family's 1533-position model. Lineage: Bacteria; Pseudomonadati; Pseudomonadota; Gammaproteobacteria; Enterobacterales; Enterobacteriaceae. The record is from RNAcentral.